GCGCCAGUAGCUCAGUUGGAUAGAGCAACGGCCUUCUAAGCCGUGGGCCGGGGGUUCGAAUCCUCCCUGGCGCG
RNAcentral lists this transfer RNA (74 nucleotides) under Geoalkalibacter ferrihydriticus DSM 17813. It matches the Rfam family "tRNA". Rfam says of the family: Transfer RNA (tRNA) molecules are approximately 80 nucleotides in length. Lineage: Bacteria; Pseudomonadati; Thermodesulfobacteriota; Desulfuromonadia; Desulfuromonadales; Geoalkalibacteraceae. The record is from Rfam by way of RNAcentral. RNAcentral also lists the same sequence under 1 other name.